CGAUGUGAGACUGAUCUGGCUGCAACAUCUGUCGCCCCAUUGAUUGCCAGGGUUGAUUCGGUUGAUCUGGCUGGUUAGGCGGGUGUCCCCUUCCUCCUUCACCACUCCAUAUAUGUCCCUCCCAAAGCUGCAUGCUCAGUCAAAGAGGAUGACCUUCCCAGAUAGAGGAAGACCAUUCUUUGGUCAAGGGUAUACAAGUACCUGUGUUCCCAUGCUAGAACCUCCAAACAAACUCUCAAGGUCCAUAAGUCACUCCUUCGCUGAAGUCAGGGGUCUUGACAUCAAGAUAUUUGGAGCCCGCAGUCUUGGAGACCUCCAGUCACU
Felis catus (domestic cat) is the source of this 324-nucleotide non-coding RNA. Lineage: Eukaryota; Metazoa; Chordata; Mammalia; Carnivora; Felidae. The record is from Rfam.